Molecule: unclassified non-coding RNA, 418 nt
Filed under: fungal sp.
Lineage: Eukaryota; Fungi
Description: partial internal transcribed spacer region
Rfam family: Eukaryotic small subunit ribosomal RNA (bases 1-46)
Source: RNAcentral
AAGUCGUAACAAGGUUUCCGUAGGUGAACCUGCGGAAGGAUCAUUAACACGUAUCCAACGUUAAAACCCCCGUGAACCUACAGCCCUAUUCUUGUGCGCCCGUUCGGACAGCAAUCCCUAGUAAAUCAUUGUUGAACAGAGUUUGAUUUAGGGACCUCUGUACGGAAGGACUGCGGUUUGCGUGCAAUUGAGUGGUAGCGCAAGCAUCCUGGUGCCUUUGAGACGGUUAUUGUGUAGAAGUGACGGUAACCUGUCAACGACGUGACUUCUAAACACGUUUGCUAGAGGUCCACACGACCGGCAACCGGGAUCCAGGCCGAAAGGUCCCUAACCACCCCUCGCAAGAAUUUAGCGUGCACCUAACGGUCGUACGCACCCCCAAACUGAACAACUGUUAACAAUGGAUAUCUUGGUUUUC